RNAcentral lists this ribosomal RNA (253 nucleotides) under uncultured bacterium. Its description in RNAcentral is "partial 16S ribosomal RNA". It matches the Rfam family "Bacterial small subunit ribosomal RNA", at positions 524 to 776 of the family's 1533-position model. The record is from RNAcentral.
UACGUAGGGUGCAAGCGUUGCUCGGAAUUAUUGGGCGUAAAGCGCACGUAGGCGGCUUAGCAAGUCGGAUGUGAAAUCCCUCGGCUCAACCGAGGAAGUGCAUCCGAAACUGCUGAGCUUGAGUACUUAAGAGGCUCGCGGAAUUCCCGGUGUAGAGGUGAAAUUCGUAGAUAUCGGGAGGAACACCAGUGGCGAAGGCGGCGAUCUGGGAAGAUACUGACGCUGAGGUGCGAAAGCGUGGGGAGCAAACAGG